CCCCGAGUCUCGUCGCCCUCUCCUCCUCUCGUUCUCAUGCACGCGCCGCCAUGGCCUGGCCGCGCCGCCGCUCUCCAUGGCCUGGCCGCGCCGCCGCUCUCUCCUGGCCGCCUCCAGCCCUCUACAGCGCCGGCGAGAUGGGGCUUUCGUCCGCCUCGAUGAGCUUUGUAUCCUUCCCCAACUCGAUUUGGUUUUCCAGCUCUACCUCGUCCGGACCCAAACCUAGAAACCCUAGCGGUCGCUGGUCGGUUUGGCCAUCGCCGGCCAACCCCCGCGCCGCCGCUGGUCAUUGUUGCUGCCCGGUGAGGCUUCGCCCUCACCCGCCGCCUCGAUGCCUCCCUACGCGCGCGCGCCACCCUGCUCCUGCUCACGCCCGGCGCUCCCUGGCGUGGCUCCGCCCCCAUCUUCUCCCGGCCGUUGAUGGCCGCCUUCGGCGCCGCUGCUGUCUGACCGGCUGCUGCCAGCCGCAUCCGUCGUAGCUGUUUUCCGAAUCAUAUAUGCCCGGGUAUCCUCCCUCGACUCCCUGCCGCCGCGACGCCUCUCCUCCCUCUCUCGUGCACCCAAGGCUAACCCUAGCCCGCCACAAUUCGGCUCGCCUCCGGCGUGAUUCCGUGCCGCUGCGCCUCCAGAUGAUUCCUCCUUGGCGACCUCGACUUCCACCUCGAGCCGCAGCUCGACCUUGCUGUGUCGGCCUCCUCGAUUCUAUGGUGGUCUGAUGGUGUGGUGUGGUGUUGCUGCUGCUCGCUGACCGUGGCCUCUCGCACCAUGGUGUGGUCGGCCGACCUCGCAGGCUCCCUCGACUACGGCUUCGCCUGCGCCUCCGGUCAGGUAGUCCCUCGGUUCUUAACGAGAUAAGCCUCUGGUGGUUCAACAUGACUGGUCAUAUCGACUUUCAACUUUGUGAGGUGGAGAGUUCUCUCCAAACUACAAAUCAGAGAGUCGGCGGCGGCAGAUGGGUACUUCAGCUGCCUGGGCGGCAAGGAGAACCAGGCCUUACCAGUAUAGUGAUAGCUGGCCAUUGGUUGUGGUGGCGAACAAUGUUGACUUUCUGGUGGCGGCAACGGGUGCAUUUCGAUGGCAGUGUUUAAAUAAUUAAUGUGGGGGCUUCCUGAUUAUGUUAAUUAGGCCAUGUGUGCUCUGUUGGUAAUAUUUUUAGUAGUGCUGCUCACAUAUUGGUUUUUAAACUUCACUUUAUGGUAUUCGAAAUAUAAAUAGUGAUCAUGAAGAUAUCAAUAGCAAAUGUAUCAAGGAAACUUAGUUUAUAUACUUUAGUUUAUAAUAUAUUUUGGAGCAUUUGUGGGGGUGAGUAGUACCUGACUGUUAAUGCUUGAUUGUGCUUACUAUGCAGAUGCCUAUGGUCGAUGAUACUUUGUGUUUUGGUUGCAGCUUAGUGUUGGGUUUGCUUUGGCACAGAGAGUGCUUCCAAGUCAACUCCUAUGUUUGAUGAUCUAAGGUGAGCCCUGUCAAUCAUUCCAUUGUUGAAUCUAUGCAGUCAAAACAAGACCUUUCAUAUGUUAGUUAAUUCUUGCUUUCCAUUUUAUAUUUAUAUAGUUUGUAACUUCAUCUAUACAGGUGGAAAAUUUCAGACGUGCAAGUGAGACGUGCAAGUGUGCAGCUAUAAGAAUAAAGUAGAACCAAUGUUUUAUUCUUGCUAACCUGGCUGACGCUAUUACCUGUUUGGUUGCUUGGCUUGGUGGAUUUUUAUGCCCCAUUUCCUGUUAGCUUCCUUAAUUCCUAAAUGUUUCCAUAGUUCAAAGUUAGGAAUAAACAUUGACGCUUGGCCUAUGUUACUGCCCUAUGCUAUAAUUUCUAUUAGAUUUGUAUCUUCUCUAAUGCCAUGUUUCUGCAGUUCCGUCUGCGGUUAAGCCCCGCUAUUGCUCCAUGGUAAUCCUAAAGUAAAUCUACAUGUGGUAGUUUAGAUUCUACGACAAACAAUCCUCUGUUUUCUGUUUGGACGCAGGUUCUUAGCUGGUUGCCAUUUGCUGUGAGGUGUGCAUCCAGUCCUCUACAUAGUAGGUCUAUGCACUAAACUGAAGAAGCUUGGGUUUUCGGUUCUGUUUGCAGACCUAUUAAAACACUAUAUACCAGCUUUUCAUGGCCAAGAAAAUAUAUCAUACUUUGAUGGACCUUUGUUUUGUAGUAACUACUAACAAACUCAGACACUGCUUAAUAAACUUAGUCUGCAUGGUCAUAAUUUACAUUAGAGGUUCAGAGUUUCAUGAACAGGAAGGUCUGAACGGUCCCCAAUAACAAGAAGGGGUUAAUUAUUGAAAUACCUAUUGCAAAGGAUGAACCUGACAGGCUUGUGUUAGUUCAAUUUGCACAACGGAGUAGGGAGUAGUGGUCCUGUAGGUGUGUGGUGGAUAUGUGCGUGGCUUGAUACACAUUGUAAUCACCCUGUAACUAUCUCUCUGUUCGAACCUUAAUUGAAAGAAGCUAAAAAACGCAAGUAGUUGCAGUAACUUCAAGAUCAGUUUGUGUUCUGAGUGAAUUGGAAGGGGCUCCUUAUGUCUAUAUGUAUGUAACUAAGCUACCACGUUUUAGUUCUGUCCAAUGUACUGACCCUAUUUUGCUACCAGUGCCUUCUUGAUGAAUCUGAUAAAUAAACAAUGUAUAAGUUAUAUCCUAUCAGCUUUUCCCAACCAACCUGGUGUACAAGAAAUUGCAUCAUCGUGUUGUCUUAUUUUAGUUCUCAUGAACACUAAAUAUACAUGUGAGAUCUCUACGUGUUAAUACAUCGCAUCUCGGAAGGUAAGGCUUAUGAUUUCAGAAUGUCUUGCUUAUGUAUCGCUUCGGCUUCUGGCUUUUGUGCCUGAGGCACAGUGGGUCAUCUGAAAAAUUUAGAGGGAUAAGAAAUAAGCAUCAUAAUUAAUGUGUAUAUAAGGCAAGAAAAAUCACCAAAAAUAUAGAUUCAAGCACGAAAAUAAAUUAAUUGUUAAAUUACCAUCCUAUAUGUUAGCAUCCAUUGGCAUAUUAAUACGCUUUCGUUUGCACUGAUUUAGGCGUUUCUUGCUUUGGAAGCCCAUGGUUACAUUUCAUGUAUUGAUUCUGCCAUUUGCGCGAUAGCGCAACGGGUCAUCUAGUAUAAGAAUGUGUAGGGCAGGUGCUAAAAUAUUAUAGGAAGCAUAGUUUCAUAAACAAUCAUUUAUGUGGUCUCAUUAGAAAUCUUUCUAAAGAUGUUUAUGUUCUUCCAAGUCUGACUUGGCUCUCCCUAACCCCUUCUCUACCUCUUUUGUUUAUUCUAGGAUUACCUUACUGAUCAAGGAAUGCUAGCAGGAUUCUUAGUGUUCAAUGCACCAUUGGAUGCUUUUCUCGGGUCCAUGCACCAUUGGAUGCUUGUAUUGGGUCCUCCUGCCUUUGUCAGUUUUUCUUAUCUUGCAAGGUCAUAGAAAGAUGCGAAUCUACUGUCUUGAUUUUUCUGGUACCUGAAGGAUUACCAUAUUGAUCAAGGAAUGCUGGAUGGAUUCUUAGUGUGCAACACCAUGAGAUGUUUGUCUCAGAAAAAUUGUUUGAAAGGGUUGAUGAUGAGUUCUGGUAGAAGCAUUGUCCUGGUCUUUCAAUAACUGGAAAUGCAUCGACAAGCAUCUAUGGUGAUAGCUGGACUUGAUAUCUUGUGUACAAAUAAGGUAUUUGCUACAUGCAGUUCUGUUGGCGCAUCGCUUGUUGUUUCUGGAGCUCUACGGUCGCCAGCAGGAAAGCGACUCGAACGUGCGCCUCUGACCGGUCACUUCCGCAUCCGUUCGCCCGCUCACUCGACCGGGCUGGCCCAGCUCAGUAUCCUGCCUGCCUUCUCUCAAUUCCAUUCCACCUCUGCUUCGUAGCAGGAAGGAGAGAAAGUCCAGCACACAUCUACCCGGCCCACUUCAAAUUCUUCCUCUCAAACUGCAGCACGAAGUAAAAAAAAAACUUAGGUCCGCUGCGCAUACUCCGCGCCGCCGCCCGCCGCACCAAUCGCCGCCUGUGUCUCUCGAGCUUCCAAAAGAUGUCUCUCACCGGAAACUGGGGGACGCCUCCCGAUCUCCCAAGUGCCUGCCCUUUUCAAUCCUCCUCCAACUGAGUGAUAACGCCCGCUGUCCCGGCAUCUCCCACGAUUCAUUCUAUUGAUUUUAAUGCCUUCAGCUGCCCAGAUCGUGUAUUUUAGCCCCUCCAUUCCAUCUUCUACGAGCCCCGCCAGUUGCCCCUCUUCACCCACUUGCUCGCUCUGUUCAUUGCCUGCAUCUGCUGGUGUUGCUGAAUGUUGCUGCACUACAUCCCCACGAUCCAUCAAGCUCCCCGCAGUCAGAGAACAACGAGGCUUGCUUUGGACUGCUAUUUCUACUGUCCUGCAUGAACUUCUCUCCCAGCCAUUUCAGUUAGAGGACAACAAUUGCUUCUUCAGUUAAAUUUGAUUAUUCUACCAAGAGUACUACAUAAGCCAUUCGGUGAGGCAUCAAGGAUUACAUAUCAGUUGGUUUGUUCUCUGCAAUCCUAUUCAAAAAGAUACAAGAAGACUACCACUUCCAGCUCUGUCAAAUGCACUGUAGCUGUUAAUAUCUUACUAGCCCGAACUUCCUAUUUCUUAUACCAAGCACUUCCUUACUUGCAUGCCAUUCCAUUAUAGAUUUAUAUCAGUUAAUUUUUGUUCGGUCCAGCAAGCCUAUUCCAAACGAACCCAGGCAUAUUCUCAUAAAUAAAGGUCACCAUGAUGACAAGUGACUGCACGACAUUGAACUUGCAAAUCCAAAGGCAUGUGUCGAGGAAUAGAGCUCACCAUGAUGACAAUUGACAACUAUAUUUCUUUCUACCGGACUUUUCAAAUAUUAUGUCUUUGUUGUGAAUCGCAAAAAAAAAGUCUUUGUUGUCAAAUAGUUUACGUUCCACUCCUGAAUGUGAGGAGUCGAUAAUAUUUUUUUAUUAAUGACACAUUGGAUAUAUUUUAGGUACACUGCUAUAAUUCUGCUAUUGCUUAUAUAUACUUGGUUAACUCAUGCCAUGAGAUUGUUCAUGUGAUGACAUUGCA
This is an RNA transcript of Lolium perenne, 4999 nucleotides long. RefSeq lists it as uncharacterized. Lineage: Eukaryota; Viridiplantae; Streptophyta; Magnoliopsida; Poales; Poaceae. The record is from RefSeq and is a predicted model, not a curated record.